This 27-nucleotide non-coding RNA is filed under the name Homo sapiens (human). The record is from RNAcentral. Lineage: Eukaryota; Metazoa; Chordata; Mammalia; Primates; Hominidae.
CACGGGACCAACCCUUUGAGUGUCUGC